UAGUCAUAUGCUUGUCUCAGAGAUUAAGCCAUGCAUGUCUAAGUACAUACCUUCAAACGGUGAAACCGCGAAUGGCUCAUUAAAUCAGCUAUGGUUCCUUAGAUCGUACCUACUACAUGGAUAACUGUAGUAAUUCUAGAGCUAAUACAUGCCACUAUGCCCUGACCCGCAAGGGGAUGGGUGGAUUUAUUAGAACAGAACCAACCAGUUGUGGCUUCGGCUGCUUCUGUUGCAUUCUGUGAUGACUCUGGAUAACUUCACUGAUCGCAGUCGGCCUUGUGUCGGCGACGGAUCUUUCAAAUGUCUGCCCUAUCAAUUUUCGAUGGUAGGUGAUCUGCCUACCAUGGUUAUAACGGGUAACGGGGAAUCAGGGUUCGUUUCCGGAGAGGGAGCCUGAGAAACGGCUACCACUUUCCAAGGAAGGCAGCAGGCGCGCAAAUUACCCAAUCCCGGCACGGGGAGGUAGUGACGAAAAAUACGGAUACGGGACUCGAAUGAGGCUCCGUAAUUCGAAUGAGAACAAUUUAAAUCCUUUAACGAGGAUCAACUGGAGGGCAAGUCUGGUGCCAGCAGCCGCGGUAACUCCAGCUCCAGAAGCGUAUAUUAAAGUUGUUGCAGUUAAAAAGCUCGUAGUUGGAUCUGGGUCGUAUGGCUAUGUACCGUCGCUCGUGAGCCUGGCUUGGUUACGACUGGGUCGAGUUCAUGGGUCGGUGUCGUGGCUGUGCAGCCUUUCUGCCGUGUCUGUCUCAGGACAGGUGUCGGCCUUAUCGGUGGGCUUGUCUCGUCGGUUGGUCGGCAUGUACUUUGAUGCCUUUGAACGGGUGUCGGGUGCGGACGGUGCGUUUACUUUGAACAAAUUUGAGUGCUCAAAGCAGGCUUGUGCCUGAAAAGUUUUGCAUGGAAUAAUGGAAUAGGACUUCGGUUCUAUUUUGUUGGUUUUCGGAUCCGAAGUAAUGGUUAAGAGGGACAGACGGGGGCAUUUGUAUGGCGGUGUUAGAGGUGAAAUUCUUGGAUCGCCGCCAGACAAACUACAGCGAAAGCAUUUGCCAAGGAUGUUUUCAUUGAUCUGGAGCGAAAGUCAGAGGUUCGAAGACGAUCAGAUACCGUCCUAGUUCUGACCAUAAACGAUGCCAACUGACGAUCCGUAGGCGCACUUUUAAUGGCCCUGCGGGCAGUCCCCGGGAAACCUUUAAGUUUUUGGGCUCCGGGGGAAGUAUGGUUGCAAAGCUGAAACUUAAAGGAAUUGACGGAAGGGCACCACCAGGAGUGGAGCCUGCGGCUUAAUUCGACUCAACACGGGAAAACUCACCCGGCCCGGACACUGUGAGGAUUGACAGAUUGAUAGCUCUUUCUUGAUUCGGUGGUUGGUGGUGCAUGGCCGUUCUUAGUUGGUGGAGCGAUUUGUCUGGUUAAUUCCGAUAACGAACGAGACUUUGGCCUGCUAAAUAGCACUCCUGUCCUCUGUGCUCGUGCAGGUGGCGGUUCUCUCUGCCCGUUUUACGGGUGGCUGAGUCCGUUUGCCGGCGGGUACUGCGCAGGUGAUUACUUCUUAGAGGGACAAGCGGCGCGCCAGUCGCACGAAAUUGAGCAAUAACAGGUCUGUGAUGCCCUUAGAUGUCCGGGGCCGCACGUGCGCUACAAUGACGGUUUCAGCGAGUUUUAAAACCUGGCCCGAAAGGGUUGGGCAAACUGUAUCAUCACCGUCGUGACUGGGAUCGGGGCUUGCAAUUGUUCCCCGUGAACGAGGAAUUCCUGGUAAGUGCAAGUCAUAAGCUUGCGCUGAUUACGUCCCUGCCCUUUGUACACACCGCCCGUCGCUACUACCGAUUGAAUGGUUUAGCAAGGUCAUCGGAUCGGUGCCAUUUGAGUUGUUUCGGCAACUUUAGCGGUGCUGAGAAGACGACCAAACUUGAUCAUUUAGAGGAAGUAAAAGUCGUAACAAGGAUUCCGU
Molecule: ribosomal RNA, 1951 nt
Filed under: Glypthelmins quieta
Lineage: Eukaryota; Metazoa; Platyhelminthes; Trematoda; Plagiorchiida; Plagiorchiidae
Description: SSU rRNA
Rfam family: Eukaryotic small subunit ribosomal RNA
Source: RNAcentral